This 420-nucleotide ribosomal RNA is filed under the name uncultured bacterium. RNAcentral's name for it is "bacterial SSU rRNA". It matches the Rfam family "Bacterial small subunit ribosomal RNA", at positions 355 to 775 of the family's 1533-position model. The record is from RNAcentral.
UAAGGAAUAUUGCGCAAUGGACGCAAGUCUGACGCAGCAACGCCGCGUGCAGGAUGAAGGCCCUUUGGGUUGUAAACUGCUGUAGCAGGGGAAUAAUGGCCACCUUGGGUGGUUUGAAGGUACCCUGAAAGUAAGCGCCGGCUAACUACGUGCCAGCAGCCGCGGUAAUACGUAGGGCGCAAGCGUUGUCCGGAUUCACUGGGUGUAAAGGGUGCGCAGGCGGGAGUGCAAGUCAGAGGUGAAAUCUCACGGCUCAACCGUGAAACUGCCUUUGAUACUGCAUUUCUUGAGUUAGGGAGAGGUUGAUGGAAUUCCAGGUGUAGCGGUGAAAUGCGUAGAUAUCUGGAAGAACACCGGUGGCGAAGGCGGUCAACUGGCCCUCAACUGACGCUGAGGCACGAAAGCGUGGGGAUCAAACAG